RNAcentral lists this ribosomal RNA (490 nucleotides) under uncultured bacterium. RNAcentral describes it as "partial 16S ribosomal RNA". It matches the Rfam family "Bacterial small subunit ribosomal RNA", at positions 30 to 507 of the family's 1533-position model. The record is from RNAcentral.
AUUGAACGCUGGCGGCAGGCCUAACACAUGCAAGUCGAACGGGAACAGGAAGAGGCUUGCUUCUUUGCUGACGAGUGGCGGACGGGUGAGUAAUGUCUGGGAAACUGCCUGAUGGAGGGGGAUAACUACUGGAAACGGUAGCUAAUACCGCAUAACUUCGCAAGACCAAAGAGGGGGACCUUCGUGCCUCUUGCCAUCGUAUGUGCCCAGAUGGGAUUAGCUAGUAAGUGGGGUAACGGCUCACCUAGGCGACUAUCCCUAGCUGGUCUGAGAGGAUGACGAGCGACAAUGCAACUGGUAAACGCCCCAGAAUACUACGGGAGGCACCAGUGGGGAAUAUUGCACAACGGGCGCAAGCCUGAUGCAGCCAUGCCGCGUGUAUGAAGACGUCAUUCGGGUUGUACAGUCCUUUCAGCGCGGAGGAAGGGAGUAAAGUUAAUACCUUGGCUCAUUGACGUUACCCGCAGAAGAAGCACCGGCUAACCCCGUG